This 2886-nucleotide ribosomal RNA is filed under the name Vibrio cholerae. RNAcentral describes it as "Large Subunit Ribosomal RNA". It matches the Rfam family "Bacterial large subunit ribosomal RNA". Lineage: Bacteria; Pseudomonadati; Pseudomonadota; Gammaproteobacteria; Vibrionales; Vibrionaceae. The record is from RNAcentral.
GGUUAAGUGACUAAGCGUACACGGUGGAUGCCUAGGCAGUCAGAGGCGAUGAAGGACGUACUAACUUGCGAUAAGCGCAGAUAAGGCAGUAAGAGCCGUUUGAGUCUGCGAUUUCCGAAUGGGGAAACCCAACUGCACAAGCAGUUACUGUUAACUGAAUACAUAGGUUAACAGAGCAAACCGGGGGAACUGAAACAUCUAAGUACCCCGAGGAGAAGAAAUCAACCGAGAUUCCGGUAGUAGCGGCGAGCGAACCUGGAUUAGCCCUUAAGCACUCGGUGAAGUAGGUGAACAAGCUGGAAAGCUUGGCGAUACAGGGUGAUAGCCCCGUAACCGACGCUUCAUCGAGCGUGAAAUCGAGUAGGGCGGGACACGUGAUAUCCUGUCUGAAUAUGGGGGGACCAUCCUCCAAGGCUAAAUACUCCUGACUGACCGAUAGUGAACCAGUACCGUGAGGGAAAGGCGAAAAGAACCCCUGUGAGGGGAGUGAAAUAGAACCUGAAACCGUGUACGUACAAGCAGUAGGAGCACCUUCGUGGUGUGACUGCGUACCUUUUGUAUAAUGGGUCAGCGACUUAUAUUCAGUGGCAAGGUUAACCGUAUAGGGGAGCCGUAGCGAAAGCGAGUCUUAACUGGGCGCUCAGUCUCUGGAUAUAGACCCGAAACCGGGUGAUCUAGCCAUGGGCAGGUUGAAGGUUGAGUAACAUCAACUGGAGGACCGAACCGACUAAUGUUGAAAAAUUAGCGGAUGACUUGUGGCUAGGGGUGAAAGGCCAAUCAAACUCGGAGAUAGCUGGUUCUCCCCGAAAGCUAUUUAGGUAGCGCCUCGGACGAAUACUACUGGGGGUAGAGCACUGUUAAGGCUAGGGGGUCAUCCCGACUUACCAACCCUUUGCAAACUCCGAAUACCAGUAAGUACUAUCCGGGAGACACACGGCGGGUGCUAACGUCCGUCGUGGAGAGGGAAACAACCCAGACCGCCAGCUAAGGUCCCAAAGUAUUGCUAAGUGGGAAACGAUGUGGGAAGGCUCAGACAGCUAGGAUGUUGGCUUAGAAGCAGCCAUCAUUUAAAGAAAGCGUAAUAGCUCACUAGUCGAGUCGGCCUGCGCGGAAGAUGUAACGGGGCUAAGCAAUACACCGAAGCUGCGGCAAUGCCUUUUAGGUAUUGGGUAGGGGAGCGUUCUGUAAGCCGUUGAAGGUGGUCUGUAAGGGCUGCUGGAGGUAUCAGAAGUGCGAAUGCUGACAUGAGUAACGACAAAGGGGGUGAAAAACCUCCUCGCCGGAAGACCAAGGGUUCCUGUCCAACGUUAAUCGGGGCAGGGUGAGUCGACCCCUAAGGUGAGGCCGAAAGGCGUAAUCGAUGGGAAACGGGUUAAUAUUCCCGUACUUCUGACUAUUGCGAUGGGGGACGGAGAAGGCUAGGUGGGCCAGGCGACGGUUGUCCUGGUUCAAGUGCGUAGGCUUAAGAGUUAGGUAAAUCCGGCUCUUUCUAAGGCUGAGACACGACGUCGAGCUGCUACGGCAGUGAAGUCAUUGAUGCCAUGCUUCCAGGAAAAGCCUCUAAGCUUCAGAUAGUCAGGAAUCGUACCCCAAACCGACACAGGUGGUCGGGUAGAGAAUACCAAGGCGCUUGAGAGAACUCGGGUGAAGGAACUAGGCAAAAUGGUACCGUAACUUCGGGAGAAGGUACGCUCUUGAUGGUGAAGUCCCUUGCGGAUGGAGCUGACGAGAGUCGCAGAUACCAGGUGGCUGCAACUGUUUAUUAAAAACACAGCACUGUGCAAAAUCGCAAGAUGACGUAUACGGUGUGACGCCUGCCCGGUGCCGGAAGGUUAAUUGAUGGGGUUAGCGCAAGCGAAGCUCUUGAUCGAAGCCCCGGUAAACGGCGGCCGUAACUAUAACGGUCCUAAGGUAGCGAAAUUCCUUGUCGGGUAAGUUCCGACCUGCACGAAUGGCGUAAUGAUGGCCACGCUGUCUCCACCCGAGACUCAGUGAAAUUGAAAUCGCUGUGAAGAUGCAGUGUACCCGCGGCUAGACGGAAAGACCCCGUGAACCUUUACUACAGCUUGGCACUGAACAUUGAACCUACAUGUGUAGGAUAGGUGGGAGGCUAUGAAGACGUGACGCUAGUUGCGUUGGAGCCGUCCUUGAAAUACCACCCUUGUAUGUUUGAUGUUCUAACUUAGCCCCAUUAUCUGGGGUGAGGACAGUGCCUGGUGGGUAGUUUGACUGGGGCGGUCUCCUCCCAAAGAGUAACGGAGGAGCACGAAGGUGGGCUAAUCACGGUUGGACAUCGUGAGGUUAGUGCAAUGGCAUAAGCCCGCUUAACUGCGAGAAUGACGGUUCGAGCAGGUGCGAAAGCAGGUCAUAGUGAUCCGGUGGUUCUGUAUGGAAGGGCCAUCGCUCAACGGAUAAAAGGUACUCCGGGGAUAACAGGCUGAUACCGCCCAAGAGUUCAUAUCGACGGCGGUGUUUGGCACCUCGAUGUCGGCUCAUCACAUCCUGGGGCUGAAGUCGGUCCCAAGGGUAUGGCUGUUCGCCAUUUAAAGUGGUACGCGAGCUGGGUUUAGAACGUCGUGAGACAGUUCGGUCCCUAUCUGCCGUGGGCGUUGGAAGAUUGAAGGGGGCUGCUCCUAGUACGAGAGGACCGGAGUGGACGAACCUCUGGUGUUCGGGUUGUGUCGCCAGACGCAUUGCCCGGUAGCUAAGUUCGGAAUUGAUAAGCGCUGAAAGCAUCUAAGCGCGAAGCGAGCCCUGAGAUGAGUCUUCCCUGAUACUUUAAGUAUCCUAAAGGGUUGUUCGAGACUAGAACGUUGAUAGGCAGGGUGUGUAAGCGUUGUGAGGCGUUGAGCUAACCUGUACUAAUUGCCCGUGAGGCUUAACCAU